RNAcentral lists this small RNA (82 nucleotides) under Drosophila guanche. Lineage: Eukaryota; Metazoa; Arthropoda; Insecta; Diptera; Drosophilidae. The record is from RNAcentral.
GACAUUUGCACCUGUUGCUGCUGCUGCUGUUGCUGCUGCUGCUGUGUCGGCGGCUGUUGCUGUUGCUGCUGCUGUUGAUAUC